This 198-nucleotide ribosomal RNA is filed under the name uncultured bacterium. Its description in RNAcentral is "partial 16S ribosomal RNA". It matches the Rfam family "Bacterial small subunit ribosomal RNA", at positions 1303 to 1500 of the family's 1533-position model. The record is from RNAcentral.
GUCUGCAACUCGACUACAUGAAGCUGGAAUCGCUAGUAAUCGCGAAUCAGAAUGUCGCGGUGAAUACGUUCCCGGGUCUUGUACACACCGCCCGUCACACCAUGGGAGUCGGAAAUGCCCGAAGUCAGUGACCUAACCGAAAGGAGGGAGCUGCCGAAGGUGGAGCCGGUAACUGGGGUGAAGUCGUAACAAGGUAUC